Molecule: ribosomal RNA, 571 nt
Filed under: uncultured Glomeromycotina
Lineage: Eukaryota; Fungi; Glomeromycota
Description: SSU rRNA
Rfam family: Eukaryotic small subunit ribosomal RNA
Source: RNAcentral
UUGGAGGGCAAGUCUGGUGCCAGCAGCCGCGGUAAUUCCAGCUCCAAUAGCGUAUAUUAAAGUUGUUGCAGUUAAAAAGCUCGUAGUUGAAUUUCGGGAUUGACACAUCGGUCGUGCCUUAAGGGGUAUGAACUGGUGCAGUCAAUUUCUCACCUUCUGGAGAACCGCGAUGCCCUUAAUUGGGUGUCACGGGGAACCAGGACCUUUACUUUGAAAAAAUUAGGGUGUUUAAAGCAGGCAUUUUGCUUGAAUACAUUAGCAUGGAAUAAUAAAAUAGGACGGCAUGAUUCUAUUUUGUUGGUUUCUAGGAUCACCGUAAUGAUUAAUAGGGAUAGUUGGGGGCAUUAGUAUUCAAUUGUCAGAGGUGAAAUUCUUGGAUUUAUUGAAGACUAACUACUGCGAAAGCAUUUGCCAAGGAUGUUUUCAUUAAUCAAGAACGAAAGUUAGGGGAUCGAAGACGAUCAGAUACCGUCGUAGUCUUAACCAUAAACUAUGCCGACUAGGAAUCAGACGAUGUUAAUUUUUUAAUGACUCGUUUGGCACCUUACGGGAAACCAAAGUGUUUGGGUUC